RNAcentral lists this long non-coding RNA (504 nucleotides) under Homo sapiens (human). RNAcentral's name for it is "non-protein coding lnc-FAM84B-10:1". The record is from RNAcentral. Lineage: Eukaryota; Metazoa; Chordata; Mammalia; Primates; Hominidae.
GCCAAUAACCAGCUUAUCAUUUCUGAUGACCUGAGGAAUGUCAGUUGCGGGCAUUUCAAACAGAAUAGGAAAGAGCCCGCUGAGAGGUUCAACUCUGCUUUUUGUAUCUGGGCUCCCCUCUGUUCACUUCCAGCCGCCAUGACUGGGCACUGGGAACAUUACCUGGGCACAAGCAAAGACCAGGAUAUGGACCUUUUCGUAGAAUCUGUGAAUCCGCAAGGGAAAAUUCUAUUUUUUUCAGCCCUUGGCUUCUGGACUGGGGGUUUAAGAGAAGGGCAAUACUUUACUGCCAGCACUAUGCCUUUGGUGAGCCCCUAGUUACACCAAGUGGGAUUUUUCCUGACUAUGGAUAUUGGGAUCAUUUCCUUUUGUAAUGUUGGUAAUGGAUCCCAUAUCUUUGCAUUCACUAAAAUAUCUGCUACUGAGCCAGUGCAUCCAUAUUUUGCUCCUGAAGAUACAAUUCAUGAUGAUCAAGGGUACUUGAGUGUCUGUCCUGUGAUUAAU